Aspergillus ibericus CBS 121593 is the source of this 72-nucleotide non-coding RNA. NCBI's taxonomy places the organism in Eukaryota, Fungi, Ascomycota, Eurotiomycetes, Eurotiales, Aspergillaceae. The record is from the annotation of a RefSeq genome assembly.
GGCCGGGUGGCCUAAUGGUAAGGCAUUAGUUUCCGGUACUAGGGAUUGCGUGUUCGAGUCACGCCUCGGUCG